GGCGGGCACCUGGGGACCCUCCGUUCCCACUCUCCCCAGCCCGGUGCUACAUACACAGACAUUCACGCUCUGCUCACACAGGGCCCUGACCGGUCCAUCCCCCGGCUGGCUGACUCCCACGGGGACAGCAGGACAGCUGCCCUUGAGGGAGCAGAGGGCCCCCUGCCCACUGAGGUCCUCCCCCUGAUGGAUGGAAGCAGCCACCGCCCUGCAGAACCUCCCGGGUCUCCCCUUGACUUAUGGGCACACGGAGGGGCUGUCUUGCCUUUGCUCAGCAAUCUCCUGCUCUCCUGAGCCCACUGCCCGGCAACAGUGUCCCCAACAUGUUACUGAGUCCAGACUCGUCCUGCUCACCGCACGACAGGCCAGUAAAUCGGGAGAUGAGGUGUUGGGGCAAGGCAGAGCGACUUUGUUCAGAAAGCCGGCAGACCAGGAGGAUGGCAGGCUAAUGUCUUGGAGAAUCAUCCUGCUCCAGUCAGAACAAACGCUCCUUUCAUACAAAAAAAAAAAAAAAAAACAAAAAAAAAAAAACCCAAAACCAGGAGAGGGGGUGUGGUUGGUUGCUGCAAACUUCUUAGGGCGGGAAAUCUUUGCUCCUGCAGCUGUCCAGGUGGGCCCGCUCAUGCUGCUCCUGCAAAACAUCCAAGAAAAGGCAUGUUAUUCUCUGUCCUGCAACUUUGUUAUCUUUCCAUGAGUAAGAGCUAGUGAGACCAAGCCUAGAAGACAGGGCACAGGGUUAAAGCCAAAGGAACAGGUCUAGCAUGGAGUCAGAUUCGUUCUUUUCUAUUGCAAAUGGCCCCCUGAGGUUGGCGGCCUUCGGGGAGCCGGGAGGACGGUGUGCAGCAGGGGCUUGCGUUUGUCACCCCAGGCACAGGCGGCCGUGAACCCUCCAGCGAGGCGCUGCUCUGGGACUCCGCCGAGUGGCCCGAGACGGUGAAACGCCUCGGGAAAGUCGAGGAGGCGCACUGGAACUUAGGGUGCCUUCCUGACGGAGCGAACAGGACCCGGAAAGCCUGUGACUCUGGCCGUGUUUGUUUCGUGUUCCAGGUCACGUGGUUUCUGCAUCUCAGCCCCACCACCCGUGGGCAACCUCGCCUCCACGAGACCCGCUGGGGAUGGCCAUUUCCCGUCUCCAUCCUGAUCUGCUCAGACCGGGCCUCCAGACCAGCGGCAGGGCAGAGAGUGAGACUCGCACAUGCCAGGUCUGAGAACGGUCGUCCCACUACUGGGCUGUGUAAGCUGGACGCUGUGCCCACUGAGUCUGAAUUUGCUCAUCUAGUUGCUGAAGACACUCAGCAGAUCUCUUUCUGCCGCAGCUACAAAAGCAAAGCCAACGAGACAGAGGCAUUGGAGACGUUGCGACCGCAAGGCUCAGAAGCCGUUCCCUCUUUGCCGAAGGUCAGGACAGCCCUGAGUUGGACACGCAGAAGUUUGGUUCCGAGAUGUCAAACAAGGUGUAACCCCUGUCCAGGUGGCAGGUGGCCCGGCCCCAGCAGGCCCCCGGGGAAGGGGUGGAACCCAGCAGGAGGGGUCAGGUGGAGGCGGGGAGGGGCGUGUCCAGCUGAUGGAGAAACCAGAGACGCCUGUAGCCCGUGCAGCGGUGUCCUCACCUAUGAAUCACCAGUGAGAACCUCGUGAAUGCUUUGCAAACUUUUUUUACCAUUGUGGUUUUUAAAAUUUUUUAUUUAUUAUUAUUACUUUUUGUUAAUAGAGGUAUUGGGGAAUCGAACCCAGGACCUCGUGCAUGCUGAGCACACACACUUUACCACUAAGCUAUCCCCACCCACCACCAGCUUUUUAAGUGGGAUCUUUCGUUCAACCAGACUGAUACACAAAGAACCCCGACGUUGCCAGAGGACGUCCCGGCUCACAGGAGGCUACGGUGGGCAUGUAAUGGUUGUCACACGUCCCUUUACAGAACUGGGGGUUCUCCAUGUGAAAUAAAUCCU
This is a long non-coding RNA of Camelus dromedarius (Arabian camel), 1949 nucleotides long. RefSeq lists it as uncharacterized. The record is from RefSeq and is a predicted model, not a curated record. The transcript is spliced from 3 exons. Lineage: Eukaryota; Metazoa; Chordata; Mammalia; Artiodactyla; Camelidae.